RNAcentral lists this long non-coding RNA (238 nucleotides) under Homo sapiens (human). Its description in RNAcentral is "non-protein coding lnc-PPP1R2C-10:1". Lineage: Eukaryota; Metazoa; Chordata; Mammalia; Primates; Hominidae. The record is from RNAcentral.
GCCAGUGUCUGCAUUUCUGCAUCAGGAAGCUGUUUCCAGAACCACAGAAGGUAAUUCUGCCUUUGUUUUUUCUCUUUCCUCCAGUUUUCAAUGGCUUAUUCCUCACUUCUUCUGAGCUCUCACCCUUACCAGGAGCAUGCUUCAAUUUUAGAUUUCCACUAACAGUCCACUCAAGGCAAUUUAUACUUUCUCCGUUGUUCUCCAAAUUCUUCCAGUGUGCACCCACCCAAUUCUAAAG